Molecule: ribosomal RNA, 676 nt
Filed under: uncultured bacterium
Lineage: Bacteria
Description: bacterial SSU rRNA
Rfam family: Bacterial small subunit ribosomal RNA
Source: RNAcentral
AAUUCGAUUGAGUUUGAUCCUGGCUCAGGACGAACGCUGGCGGCGCACCUAAGACAUGCAAGUCGAACGAUUCUUUGCUCUGUGGAGGGAAGGAUAGUGGCGGACGGGUGAGUAACACGUGGGGGACCUAUCUCUGGGUGGGGGAUACCGCCGGGAAACCGGCGCUAAGACCGCAUACGCCCUGUGUGCUAGUGCACGGAGGGGAAAUGCUCGUUCGAGAGAGGGAGCAGCCGAGAGCCGGCCCCGUGGCGGAUUAGCCAGUUGGCGGGGUAACGGCCCACCAAAGCGACGAUCCGUAGCUGGUCUGAGAGGAUGAUCAGCCACACCGGGACUGAGACACGGCCCGGACUCCUACGGGAGGCAGCAGUUAGGGAAUUUUCACAAUGGGCGCAAGCCUGAUGGAGUGACGCCGCGUGCGGGAGGACGGCCUUCGGGUCGUAAACCGCUUUUGGGGGGGACGAGAUGGACGGUACCCUCCGAAUAAGCCCCGGCUAACUACGUGCCAGCAGCCGCGGUAAUACGUAGGGGGCGAGCGUUGUCCGGAAUCACUGGGCGUAAAGAGCGCGUAGGCGGCCUGUUGCAUCCCUAGUGAAAGCGCCCGGCUCAACCGGGCGAGGUCUGGGGCGAUGGGGAGGCUGGAAGGUAGUAGAGGCAGAGGGAAGUCCCGAAGUAGUGG